GGGGGGGGGGGGGGGGGGGGGGGGGGGAGGCGGGGCGGAGGGGGGCAGAGGAAGAGCUUGCGCUGACGGGUGGCGAGUGGCGGACGGGGGAGGAAUACAGCGGAAUCUACUUUUUCGUGGGGGAUAACGUAGGGAAACUUACGCUAAUACCGCAUACGACCUACGGGUGAAAGCAGGGGAUCUUCGGACCUUGCGCGAUUGAAUGAGCCGAUGUCGGAUUAGCUAGUUGGCGGGGUAAAGGCCCACCAAGGCGACGAUCCGUAGCUGGUCUGAGAGGAUGAUCAGCCACACUGGAACUGAGACACGGUCCAGACUCCUACGGGAGGCAGCAGUGGGGAAUAUUGGACAAUGGGCGCAAGCCUGAUCCAGCCAUACCGCGUGGGUGAAGAAGGCCUUCGGGUUGUAAAGCCCUUUUGUUGGGAAAGAAAAGCAGCAGGUUAAUACCCCGCUGUUCUGACGGUACCCAAAGAAUAAGCACCGGCUAACUUCGUG
Molecule: ribosomal RNA, 492 nt
Filed under: uncultured bacterium
Lineage: Bacteria
Description: partial 16S ribosomal RNA
Rfam family: Bacterial small subunit ribosomal RNA
Source: RNAcentral